Molecule: ribosomal RNA, 478 nt
Filed under: uncultured bacterium
Lineage: Bacteria
Description: partial 16S ribosomal RNA
Rfam family: Bacterial small subunit ribosomal RNA
Source: RNAcentral
GAUGAACGCUGGCGGCGUGCUUAACACAUGCAAGUCGAACGAGAAGUGAAGACGGAAACCUUCGGGCGGAAGGCUUUAUUUCGAGUGGCGGACGGGUGAGUAACGCGUGGGUAACCUGCCUCAUACAGGGGGAUAACAGUUGGAAACGACUGUUAAUACCGCAUAAGACCACGGCACCGCAUGGUGCGGGGGUAAAAACUCCGGUGGUAUGAGAUGGACCCGCGUUCGAUUAGCCAGUUGGCGGGGUAACGGCCCACCAAAGCGACGAUCGAUAGCCGAUCUGAGAGGAUGACCGGCCACAGUGGGACUGAGACACGGCCCAAACUCCUACGGGAGGCAGCAGUGGGGAAUAUUGCACAAUGGGGGAAACCCUGAUGCAGCGACGCCGCGUGAGUGAAGAAGUAUUUCGGUAUGUAAAGCUCUAUCAGCAGGGAAGAAAAUGACGGUACCUGAGGAAGAAGCCCCGGCUAACUACGUG